RNAcentral lists this ribosomal RNA (272 nucleotides) under uncultured bacterium. RNAcentral's name for it is "partial 16S ribosomal RNA". It matches the Rfam family "Bacterial small subunit ribosomal RNA", at positions 524 to 795 of the family's 1533-position model. The record is from RNAcentral.
UACGUAGGUGGCAAGCGUUGUCCGGAUUUAUUGGGUUUAAAGGGUGCGUAGGCGGUCUAUUAAGUCAGUGGUGAAAUAUGGCAGCUUAACUGUCAGGGUGCCAUUGAUACUGAUGGACUUGAGUGAAGUCGAAGUAGGCGGAAUUGACGGUGUAGCGGUGAAAUGCUUAGAUAUCGUCAAGAACACCGAUAGUGAAGACAGCUUACUAGGCUUAUACUGACGCUGAGGCACGAAAGUGUGGGGAUCAAACAGGAUUAGAAACCCGUGUAGUC